RNAcentral lists this ribosomal RNA (777 nucleotides) under uncultured Neocallimastigales. RNAcentral's name for it is "partial large subunit ribosomal RNA". It matches the Rfam family "Eukaryotic large subunit ribosomal RNA", at positions 24 to 643 of the family's 3401-position model. The record is from RNAcentral. Lineage: Eukaryota; Fungi; Neocallimastigomycota; Neocallimastigomycetes; Neocallimastigales.
UAUGUGAUCGUCUCUCGCAUAUCAAUAAGCGGAGGAAAAGAAACUAACAAGGAUUCCCUUAGUAACGGCGAGUGAAGCGGGAAGAGCUCAAAUUUGAAAUCUUAAAGGGUUUCCCUUUACGAAUUGUAGUUUAAAGAAGCUGUUUUCUGUUAGAGGUUUCGGUAAAAGUUCUUUGGAAUAGGACAUCAUAGAGGGUGAGAAUCCCGUAUUUGACCUUUACUUUCUAACUUUGUGAUACACUUUCAAAGAGUCGGAUUGUUUGGGAAUGCAGUCCAAAAUGGGUGGUAAAUUUCAUCUAAAGCUAAAUAUUGGCGAGAGACCGAUAGCGAACAAGUACCGUGAGGGAAAGAUGAAAAGAACUUUGAAAAGAGAGUUAAACAGUACGUGAAAUUGUCAAAAGGGAAGCGUUUGACACCAGUGUUGUUUUUCUGAAAAUCAAUUAAAGAACUGUUUAUGCUAAGCUGUUUAGACUUUAUCAGCUAUCUGUUUAGUUUUGAGCUUUUCUUUAAUGCACUUUUCAGUUAACAAGUCAACAUCAAUUUCUUUUGCUGUAAAAAAGCUUGAGGAAGGUGGCUUGAGAUUCGUCUUAAGUGUUUAUAGCCUCUUGCCUAUGCAGUCGGAGAGAUUGAGGUCUGCAGCGUAGAUCCUUCGGGGCUAAAUGCAUUUGUGCUAAGUUAUAGCAUUUUAUAGACAACUUGUUGACUAUGAUUUGUCUUGUAGCUUACUCGCUUAUGUUAUUUUACCUACGCUUAGGAUGUUGACACACGCGCGUGCUCG